RNAcentral lists this ribosomal RNA (274 nucleotides) under uncultured bacterium. RNAcentral describes it as "partial 16S ribosomal RNA". It matches the Rfam family "Bacterial small subunit ribosomal RNA", at positions 523 to 796 of the family's 1533-position model. The record is from RNAcentral.
AUACAGAGGGUGCAAGCGUUAAUCGGAAUUACUGGGCGUAAAGCGCGCGUAGGCGGUUUGGUCAGUCGGAUGUGAAAGCCCUGGGCUCAACCCAGGAAUUGCAUUCGAUACUGCCUGACUAGAGUAUGAUAGAGGGAAGUGGAAUUUCCGGUGUAGCGGUGAAAUGCGUAGAUAUCGGAAGGAACACCAGUGGCGAAGGCGACUUCCUGGGCUAACAUUGACGCUGAGGUGCGAAAGCGUGGGGAGCAAACAGCAUUAGAUACCCCGGUAGUCC